RNAcentral lists this microRNA precursor (93 nucleotides) under Capsicum annuum. RNAcentral describes it as "mir-393 microRNA precursor family". It matches the Rfam family "mir-393 microRNA precursor family". Lineage: Eukaryota; Viridiplantae; Streptophyta; Magnoliopsida; Solanales; Solanaceae. The record is from Rfam by way of RNAcentral.
AGUGGAUUAUUCCAAAGGGAUCGCAUUGAUCCUGUGUGCCAAAUUAACCAACUGGUUCUCAUAGGAUCAUGCGAUCUCUUCGGAAUUCUCCAU